UUUUUAGAAGUCUUUCUUUUUAAAAAAAUAAUAAAAUAAAACAAAAAUCAAAAUAAACAAGAUUUUCUUUCUUAUUUAAAGUAUUCCUUUCAAAAAUUCCAAAAAAAAAAUAUAAAAAAAUUUAUAAGUAAAUAAACAAAGAAUAGCCAAAUCUUUUGAGCCCUAUGCUAAAUGAGCACUUGCUUCUUUAUUUUGUUAGUUUCGAACUACGUAAUGAUCUGAUUCACGUAGGCAUCGUGAUACGUAGGCAAUCCUCAUCGGAUCCGGUCGCAUUUCUUUUACUGCAAAACAAAAGAAAAACAAAAAAAUAUAUAUAUAAUAAAAAAAAGGGAAAAACUAAUAAGAGGAAAAAUACCGGAAUGACGCAUGCUCUCGUAGCAAACAUAUAGUAAUCCACUUAACUGUAUAGGUGCAUCAUGCCCAACGUGAGAUUAACUAUCUGUUAUUUGCUGCAAAUUAACCGUGCGCUUGUCG
This 474-nucleotide long non-coding RNA is filed under the name Nicotiana tabacum (common tobacco). RNAcentral's name for it is "long non-coding RNA (NTAB_LNC013201)". Lineage: Eukaryota; Viridiplantae; Streptophyta; Magnoliopsida; Solanales; Solanaceae. The record is from RNAcentral.